Molecule: non-coding RNA, 129 nt
Filed under: Neobittarella massiliensis (ex Bilen et al. 2018)
Lineage: Bacteria; Bacillati; Bacillota; Clostridia; Eubacteriales; Oscillospiraceae
Description: FMN riboswitch (RFN element)
Rfam family: FMN riboswitch aptamer (RFN element)
About the family: The RFN element is a highly conserved domain that is found frequently in the 5'-untranslated regions of prokaryotic mRNAs that encode for flavin mononucleotide (FMN) biosynthesis and transport proteins.
Source: RNAcentral
GUUUCAGGGCGAGGUGCGAUUCCUCACCGGCGGUAAGGGGCGUUGCCCCGAGCCCGCGACCGCACAGUCUCUGCUGUGCGCUGAUCUGGUGUAAUUCCAGAGCCGACGGUAUAGUCCGGAUAGAAGAAA